Molecule: ribosomal RNA, 233 nt
Filed under: uncultured bacterium
Lineage: Bacteria
Description: partial 16S ribosomal RNA
Rfam family: Bacterial small subunit ribosomal RNA
Source: RNAcentral
CGGGACGGGUGAGUAAUGCUCGGGAAUCUAGCUUAUGGAGGGGGAUAACUACGGGAAACUGUAGCUAAUACCGCGUAAUAUCGAAAGAUUAAAGUGUGGGACCUUCGGGCCACAUGCCAUAGGAUGAGCCCAAGUGGGAUUAGGUAGUUGGUGAGGUAAAGGCUCACCAAGCCGACGAUCUCUAGCUGGUCUGAGAGGAUGACCAGCCACACUGGGACUGAGACACGGCCCAG